UACCCAUGUUGAGGGCAUUCCCGUAGGGGCUCCUUGAACCUAUCCCAUGUCUCAAAUAGAUACUCCAAUUCCAUUUGCACAAAAGAGGAUAUUUCAUUCCUAAGCUA
Molecule: small nucleolar RNA, 107 nt
Organism: Dioscorea cayenensis subsp. rotundata (Guinea yam)
Lineage: Eukaryota; Viridiplantae; Streptophyta; Magnoliopsida; Dioscoreales; Dioscoreaceae
Source: RefSeq, a predicted model, not a curated record